UACGAAGGGUGCAAGCGUUACUCGGAAUUAAUGGGAGUAAAGAGUGCGUAGGUGGUUAGUUAAGUGUGAUGUGAAAGCCCUGGGCUCAACCUGGGAAUGGCAUUGGAAACUGGCGAUCUAGAGUGCGGUAGAGGGCAGUGGAAUUCCCGGUGUAGCAGUGAAACGCGUAGAGAUCGGGAGGAACAUCUGUGGCGAAGGCGACUGCCUGGACCAGCACUGACACUGAGGCACGAAAGCGUGGGGAGCAAACAGG
Molecule: ribosomal RNA, 253 nt
Filed under: uncultured bacterium
Lineage: Bacteria
Description: partial 16S ribosomal RNA
Rfam family: Bacterial small subunit ribosomal RNA
Source: RNAcentral